RNAcentral lists this long non-coding RNA (14954 nucleotides) under Sorghum bicolor (sorghum). RNAcentral describes it as "long non-coding RNA (SBIC_LNC017847)". Lineage: Eukaryota; Viridiplantae; Streptophyta; Magnoliopsida; Poales; Poaceae. The record is from RNAcentral.
GAACGGUCAAGCUAAGCGCCAUGUCUCUUGUUCUUUGAUUAACUAUAGCUUUGGAGUUUUUGCAGAUUUUCAAAUAAAACUCAGAGAUUCCUUAUAUGACUCUCUCAAAUCUCUCUUUUGUGGUAUUUCUGGAUCCUUUCCAAGGCAGUAAUGAUAUAUGCCUUCUCUCAAAGUAUGUAGUAUUUGUGGUAUGAGGCAUAGUGAUAUUGCCUUCUCUCUCACCCUUCUCUAAUAAGGUUUUGAUAUCUGGAGCUCAUAGGUGGGAGACAACUAAUACAUACUUACAAGAAAUUUAUUGCAUAGUCAAACUAUAGAUCCAGAGAAACAAGUCAAUAAGUCAAAUCAAGAUGUGCAUGUGUGGCGAGUGAAUGGUGUAUGGUGAUGAUGGUGAUAACAAUGGUGAAAGUCUAAUUCUACUUUUGCUCUUUUUAGGAGAUACAUACUUUGAAGUUUUUUGAGGAGAAUGAGAUGCUCUAUAUUUUCUUUUUCUUUCCUCUCAGGUGGGUAUCUUGUACCCCUAAUUCUACUGUCGGACACUUGUCCAUUUUUACCUCUCGUCUUACUUUUUCUUUUCUUCGAGGUUCCAGGCACUUGCCCCUUUUUAUUUCCUUGUAUUUUUCCUUUUUCUUCUCUUUUUUUAAGAGCACUCAUCUCCUUAAAUAAUAUAGCAAGUGGUAGUAACCAAGAUAACUCGAGCAUUUAUUACACAGGGAAUAAUAGGGAUAGGAUAAUGUUUUUGGCUAUUCUCUCCCUUAUUAGGAGUAGAAUACUUUUGGGUGAAUCUGGAGAUAGAAAUGAGUUGAUAUAUGUGGAUGCGUACUUUCGUAGUAGAAGCAGCAUAUACGAGUGAACGUGCAAGUGAAUCUUAAUUUUAACCACAUGACAAGCUCCUAAGGGUCUACACAGCUUGACCACAUUCAAUGCUCAUAAGCAGUAAAAAGUAAAUGUGCGGCUCAAAGUCUAGCAAGCAUGUAUAUAUGGCUGUGGUAGAAUUUAAACUCUCAUCAUACAGGAACUCAUCUUGUGUUAUUUUGAAGAUUUUCAAAGAUAAAAUUCUCUAGAAUUCUAGCAUCUCUAGGAACAGAUAAACAGCAGCUCAACCUUCCCAUAUCAUAUCCGUUAACAACUUAGACUUUAGAUCAAGUACUCUUCCCACAAGUUCAGGUUUCGAGCAGGUUUAAAUUAUAAUUGUUAUGCCUAAACUUGAGAGAGAGCUCAAACUUGAAAACUAGGUAUAUGGCAGAGCAACUAUUUAUCAUAUACAUGUAAGAGUUUAUCAUUUAAAUUUAGUUUAGCCUAGACACUUUAUUUAUUUAUUUAGCAAACUAAGCAAAGAUAUAUAUAAAAGCACAAAAUCUUUAUUUGGGUUUUUAUGAUUAUGCAUCUUUUUAUUUUUUGAGUAAAGUAUAAAUAUGAGUAGAACACUUAUAGAACACUUAGCUAGAUAAAUGGGGGUGCUCUCCCCCAAGCUAGAUUUUGACAUAAUUUCUUCUAAUGUAGCUAGCAGGUGGUGGAGGUGUAUUUGAAUGUUGGCAGCACCUUGACAGCGAUUAGGAUGUCCUCCGUAUGCUAGUCUUCUUUGAUCCUUGAAUUCCGUGGAGCUCAAAUAGACAACAAAGCUUUGUGGAACUGGUCAAAUGUUAGCAUAAAUAUCUAGCCUUUAUCAUGUUGAGCCUUCUCAAUAAAUGUCACUCUCUUUGGUAGGAUCACAAUCUUAUUUUUAUAUUUUCAUUUUUAUAGAGCAGAAAAAAUACUUAUUUUAUUUUUAUGCCACCACAGUCAAUGUACCUAUGGGUUUUAUGCCAUGAGCAUACUCACAUGGGGCUUACUAUUUUUAACAUUUUUAUUUUCUUUUUAAGAUGAUAUGAACCUGAUUAACUAAGCAAACUAUUCAAAGGAAAAGGAUAACUACCAAGUUUACCUCUUUGCAAGGCGUUCGGUGUUUUUAAGUCCUCUGAACGGGACUCUCCGUUUUCUCAGUCGUCCUGGGAUUCGCUGGAUGGCGUAGUCGGUGAUUCCGAUGGCGCCUCCUCUUCGUGUAUAACUAUCUUCUCCCUCCACCCCUGACUCGGUGCUACAGUCUCCUCAGGACAGUUCUGUUCAAGCUGUAUGUCUUCAGACCUUACUACUUCUUCUUCGUAGUCUGCCCAUCCGUCCUUGAUGAUUUGCCUCCUCUGGUUGCGGUUGCGUUGUCUUCUUGUUGUCCUGACCUCCUUAGAGUUUUCAACUAUAUAGUUAGGGUAAGUAAAACAGCGGCAUACCUUCUCAGAGGAGAAGUGUAUGUGGACUUCUCCAAUUCCAAUAUAGAUGAUUGCUUUAACGGUGCCGAGCAAUCGGUCUCCCAAGGAUGAUGGGUGGAUCGUACUCAUCUUCUCCCAUGUCAAUGACCUAAAAAUCAUCUAGGGCUGAAUAUAUAUUGGUUGUAGGGGCAUGGUUCCAUGCAGGAGGUGAUAAGUGACUGCGGCCAUUAUGUUGUCAUCAGAUCUGGUGUCGUAGAGUGUCUUCUGAAAAGAGUAUCUAUUGAUUGUGCAUUCGAUGCUUGGAACACCAGGGUCAUCCUUCUUGAUUAGGAAAGGCGACUUGAGUCGACGAUCUUGACCUCCUCCGACGAGGAUCCAAUGUUUUAAGUCUUCUGGACAAGACUUCUCACUGUCUUCAUCCUUUAGGUGCAUCAUUUGAUUAGGUGUGGACCUUGACAUCUGCACCUCUUGAUACGGUGUCACCCAUGUUCUUUGUUUGUCCAGCAGUUCGAAGUGCGGUGUUGGCAAUAUCCUGCUCAGUGUGUUUGUGCUCGUAGAUCCAGGUCCUUCACUUGGUGGAGUCUAGGAGUUGUAAAACUCCUCCAUGUUUUGCUCGAAGUGUACCUGCUCAUAGUGACAAGGCAGAGAUCAAGUGCAUGGGCCCUGUUGGUGAAAAACACCAACAGAACCAAAAUUGUAUUUGUUCUUCUCUAACCUCAAGCAUAGUGAGCUAGGUAAAGUUGAUGGAUAAUAAAUUCAUGAGUGUAGCAUUUAAAACAUUUGUCAGAUUAGAUCGCUCGACCUAAUGGAAAGAUAAUUUAUCUAUAUUUAUGUUUUGCUUAUAUCUUCCAAAGAUUGAAUGUGCAAUGAUUAGGAGUGUGGGAUCACGAAGGUAGUACUAAGAACAAAGAUUAAAGGACUAAACAUGUUGAAUUAAUUGGGUUGGUUAAUUUGGAGCUACAAAUCAUACAUGUUUGUCUCUUUUAUUCAUGUGUAUGCCAGAACCAAGAAGAAGCUUAUGAAAGUGAUAGUCGCGUACCUUAUGAUGUUACCUUACUUGAAGAGUGAUGGUAUGUAUCACCUUGUGGAAGCUUUCCAUUCGUAAUGGGUGUGUAUCUUGUUUAUGUACUUUGUAUCCUUCCAUGGAUCAUCACUCUAUGAAGAAUGAGCUAUGUCUUCCCUUGUGAAAAUCGUUAAACUUCAUGUGUCUCCUUUAUCUCCAAUGUGAGUUUGUAUCUCAGGACUUCCCAGGUUGAUAUUGAAAGUUCUCCUGCAGGGGUUAGUCUGACAAAAUAUACCAAUGCCUACUCAAGCAGUUUUUAGUUCGGUAACCAAACUAGACUCCAUGUCUAAUCAGAUUAAGGAAGGCUAUUUAACCUAAGCACCACACUUAAUUUAAAUGCCAAUGGAAGUAUGUCCAGUACUUCCAAACUAACACUUACUAGGAUAAACAAAGGUAGCAUGAUGGCUUUUAUAGAGAUAUACUCAAGUGGAGAUGAAGUAGUGUGAUUAGUAUUUAACAAAUUGAGCAUGUCUCAAAAGUAAGGACAACCAACAUAGCAACUUGGCAAAGGAUGUUGAAGUACUCCCCCAAGCUUGAAUUUUGCAAAAUUCAAGAUUGGAUGAAUUUUAAUUCAAUGUUGCAUGAUGAUUGGUUGGGCAUACCUUGCGCUUGUCAUUCCUCAGAUCUUCUUGCUCCAAUCCUAGAAAGGUUAGUGACAAGAAUACCCGAAGGAAUAUUUCUACAAUUAUCUUUAUAUGCUCAAUACACAAGGCAAUGUUGCAAAUAAUUAGAAGUUCAUGUUAUGAUCUGAUAAGUGCUUGUUUUAGGACACUAAGCUUGUCCUUGGGAAACCAUCAAAUUAUGUUGGUGAAGUGGUUUCCCCUCCAACACCAACCUAAACGUGCCUAUAUCAAGAUCGACUCAAUGAUAUCUGCAAUAUUUAUUAUAGACAUAUGCAUCGAUAACCACCCCUUUAAAGUUUUUAUAAAUAGAAAGGAAGAGGGGGUUGGAGAUCGCAAAUGUAGUAAGGUUGGAGAGACCAAUUGAUUGGGGAGAUGUUUUAUAUGAGCAAGGACUUGGUGAGGUAUUUAUGAAAUAACUUCCAUGCUCACUGUUGUUUCUCCCAUUCUCAAACUCCAAGGAUGAUUCUUCAUGAAUGCUUAAAAUUCCUCUAGGAUUGUCUCUCAAGUUUGUUUUAUCCAUCCAUUAAAUGGUGAUAGCACAUGGAUUUUUAAUGCCCUCUAGCCAUUGAUGUUGCUCUUCUCGAUCCUCCUUGUGGUCUUGGUGACUCUUAUGCUUGGGAUGUCUAGAGAGAUUCAUGGGAUUAUCGGGAGGUUCAAGAGGAAGAGCAUAGUAGAAAUUAUUAAGCUCAAGGAUGGGUUGGAUAGCCGAAUCAUGGGAUUGAAAUGUUUGGAAAUUGGCUAUUGAAACUUCCUUUCCUUGUCUGGGAGUUGAUUCCUUCUCUAUCUCUAGGAUUUUUUUAUGAAGACUAGUACAAUAACGAUGUCCACAAAUGAAGACAUACCUUCCUUUACUAACAGAUAAAGAAAGAAAGACUCUACCAAAGGUUAUAUAAUUAAGACCAAUGUGAAAAUAAAGAGGAAAAACAUGGUCUUGUAGGGCUAGGUUUAAACCAGAAUUUAUAGAAAGUUUAAAAGAUUCCCUAGGUGUAGCUAAAAGUGCAUUAUCUUCUUGAUUAAAAGAUAGGACCUUGGCUAUAGAAAAGGGUUGGUUUUGACUUAUUGCAAUCAACUCCGGACACAGAUCAUAAUUAGGGGUAGGACUUGUUGACUCCCAUGGUCUAUGGCUGGUCUCCGAAGGUGCAAAGAAUUCAAUAAUAGGUAUGGAAUUUAAGUUAUCCAUAAAGAUAAAAAUAAAAAGAUAAAAGAAUAAAAGUAUAAAAGUAUAAUACAAGAUAAUAGCAAGACUUAAAGUUAUCUCAGCAAACCAUCUUUCUCCCCGGCAACGGCGCCAGAAAUGCUUGUUGAUAUUUGGUAACGCAAUAAGGAAAUGAUCCGCAAGCGCACAGAUAUCGGUGAGCAUUUCACCCGGGAGGUUUUCCAGAGUAUCGUAUUUAUAUUUCUACCACUGGGAGAAAGGGUGCAUCUGACUAACCAAAUCUAUUACUACUACCCCUUUAGGCUACAAGGAAUGUUUCUCGAUGUGAGUGAUGUAUAGAGAAGACUGCAACCGUAGUCUCGUUCUAACCUUGGUAAGGAUGAUCUACUGUUUUAUUGGGGAAGCCUACGGAAUCUAAACACCACAAAGGAUGUUUGACCCACACCUAUAAACCUACCUGUCCUGCUAACGAGAUGUGGGCUUCAAAGGUAACUCGGAAAUGUCACGUUCCUCGCUACUACCACGGUCCAGCUAGUCAGGGGAUAUCUAUGAGUACCCUAGCCUAAACACCAUGUUUACGCUAGCAAUGAUUACUCUAAUACUUAACCAGAAGAGAUUAAAGUAAACUCAUAAACAAAAGACCAAUAAAACAAAAACUUACUAGAAUUAGAAGUCGAAUUACUAAAGAAUCCUAGGAGCAAGCCUCGGGUUAGAAGACUUGAUCCCGCAGGUACAACCUUUGAGUAGACACCGACAGGCCAGGCUUCCUCCGAUCUACACCUCCACUCUAUCUCUCUCAAUCUAGUAGAAACUAGAAGAUCUAAUUCUACUCACAUUGGAUGCUAAGCCUAAAAGAAAUUUUAUUUAGAGGAGAGGUAUUCCUUCGAGGGCUCCUCUCAACUCUAUGAUGAACUUGUCCUCCUCCAGGGGCCAGGGGGGCUUAUAUAGUCCUCCUCCUCUGUGCAUUUUUGGUUCAGCAGGCGAUGUGGUACUAAACUUUCCACCAUAUCUCAUUAAAAUGCACAUAGGCCUUAAUGGACCAAAAUCUGAUUUGGGCCCAAUUAAUCCCGCAGCUCUUUUAUGUGGAGUCCUUGUUUUAUUAAUAUCUCUUGAUUCCGAACUCCAAAUAUAGCAAAUAAUAUAUGCAUUUCGAUCCACUCGACGAGAUCUUCGUAAUGGUGUACUCCAUUCUGUGAUUGGUGCUUGUACCAGGGCAGGCGCCCAAGGGGGAGGGUGGGCGCCCUGCCCCUGGGCCCGUUCGGCCUCCUGUUCGUUCCCGUGGCUUCUGGAGUCUUCUAGAUGAUAGAAAAUUGCACGGCACAUUAAUAUCUCUAUGUAAUCCUGACGUGUGGGCCUUUCUUCCGUAUUUCCCGAUAACCCCCUGCAGAAAUAGACAAACACCAAAACUCGUGGAAUUCUGUCAGAUAAAACCCUAAGUCUGGGUGUUGGUUGCAUUUGGAUCCUUUUCUUUAUUUAUUUGAUGAUUAUAUUUGGUACUUAAGGACCGUCAACACCUGUGAGCGCAUCAACAGACGCAUCAACGAUAGAGCUGCACACGAAAACAUGCGCCAUAUCGAGUAUGAUGCCGCACACGACCCUCCUGGCUUAAAGCAAUUCUCCUCAAACCUCCGGCAGGUCAUCUGGCCGCACAAUUUUAAACUUGAGAGGCUCAAAAAGUACGACGACAAAGAGAACCCUGAAAUUUGGAUCACUCUCUACAAGAUCGCAGUCCGAUCAGCAACAGGAGACGAACACAUGAUGGCGAAUUAUUUCCCGGUCAUGCUCAAUCAGGUAGGUCACCAGUGGCUCCUCGGCUUGCCCGAAAAUUCAUUUGAUUCAUGGGAAGAGCUACGGCAAGCGUUCACCAACAAUUUUAUCGCUACCUACGAGCAGCCAGGAAACAAAUACGACCUCGAGAGGAUAUGGGACCGCAAGAAUGAACCACUGCACGAUUACAUCCAACGUUUCUCGGAUAUGCGUCUUAAGAUCCCAAAGAUUUCUCACGACGAGGCAAUUUCUGCCUUCAUCAAAGGUCUUCGUUUUCACGAAGCUGAAAGGUCCUUGUUUGGUUUUGGUAAUUGAGUGACAACUUAGGUGGACUAAUAAUAUUUAUGUGAGAUACCGAAGAUUAGUCCACAGGUGAAUAUGUGAUGAUAAAGGAGCUCAUUGCAUAUGAGACAUGACAUGGAGUCAUGUGAUCAAGGUGGAGAAGAUCAAGAUGUGGCUUGGCUUGAGGCCCGAUUGCAAGAGUGAAGGGCAAGUCAGAGGCUUUGAAGCUUGAGCAAGACAUGGCGCCGAUGGACCAAGGCAAUGGUGAAGAGCAAGUGAAGUCAAGAUCGAUGAACCAAUAUGGUCACAUGAUGAUAUGAAGUGGAUCAUAUCAUUUGUGAUUGGUUGGUGCAUGUGCUGUAUCAACAUUGAAGGAGUUGGAAUGGAAAGCAGAAGUCAAAGGUAUAACCUAGGGCAUUUCCAUUUCACCGGUCAUAAGGGAGUAGAGUAGUGCUUGACCGGAUUUAGGAUAGAUAACCGUACUAUAAAGAGGGGAAAUCUUUAAUUGCAAUGGUUAUCUAGUGCCACUAAGUGUUGAGUCUCAUUUGCAUAUACCAAGCGCUUAGUGACGUGGUGAGUUACAUGAGAAAGCCUAAAAAUGAUUCUGAAAUGCUAACACACAUGCACAUGGUGGUGUACACUUGGUGGUGUUGGCACAUUUGCAAAGGAGAAGGUGUUGGAGUUGAUUUUGAUCAACUUGGUGAAGAGAAAGGUGUUUCGGUGUUCUCUGGACAUUAGGAUGGCUCUUGGAUUGCGACUUGGAUUGAGUAUUCAUAUGGAUUGUAUAGCCCUCUGACUAAGCUUUCCAAAAAUGUCCAAGAUCAUCGAGUUUGGAGUUCAGAGCUAAAAGCUAGCAACAUAACAAGGUUUGAGAUGGUGCUGAGAAUGCUGGACUGGAAGUUUUGGUGGAACUUCCGGUGGUACUUCCGGUGCCUGACCGGAAGUUCCAGUCAGCCUGAUAGGAAGUUCCGGUUGGGCUGUGAGAGAUGCGCUCGCGUUUGAGAAAACACUUCCGGUGUCUGACCGGAAGUUCCGGUCCAUGACCAGAAGUUCCGGUCCAUAACCGGAAGUUCUGGUCCAUGAAUGGAAGUCCGCAUAGGAGCCUUUGUACAUGCCCUCGCGUGUUAGGAUUCACUUCUGGUCAGAAGUUUCGGUGGAACUUCCAAUGGGUCUGAGUCUCUCACAACGGUCAGAUCUGCUUGGCCACAAUGGUCAGAUCUGCUUAGACUAAGGCUCGAACAGUCAGAUCUAGUUGGAUCGGAAGUUCCGGUCCUAGGCACCGGAACUUCCAGUGCCACUCUAUAAAUACCAUUGGGAGCGCCAGCUGAGUGUUUGAGGGAGCAGUUUUCUUCUUCCUACUCUUCUCCCUCCCCAUUUGGAACACAAGGAAGUUAGGGUUCCUCCUCUCCUCUAUCUCUCCAUGGAUUUGAGUUGAAAUUUCUUAGAGAGAUUGAGAGCCCUUUGUGGGUGUGGAUGAGAGGUUGAAGAUCCACCAUUUUCCCUUCCUCUCCCUCUCAUGCUUGGUGCUAUUUUGAGUAAGGGAGUGAGAGCCUAGUGUGUGCAUUCAGGAUUUGCAUUUGGUGGCACUAGGAAAUUUUUGUGUUUGGGGAUUUCUUGUUACUCUUGGUGAUUUCCAUCACCUAGACGGAUUGGUGGAUUGUGACUCCAUUUGAAGCACUCAAGAAGGUUGUGCGGUGCUCCGGAGGAGGAUUUGUGAGGGGUACGGUGCUCACCCUGUGGGGAUCGCGAAGAGCAACUCUAGUGGAUUGCUUGUGGCUUGGAGGAUCCCCAUCUUGAGAGUGGAUGUGUGGCACCUACUGAGGGUUUGGCUUUGGAUUGUCAAUUAGCUCGUGAUCCAUCAAGUGGGUGUAUCGCCACAACGAGGACGUAGCUUGGUGGCAACCAAGUGAACCUCGGUAAAAAUCACCGUGUCAACAUUGUCUACUCUUCUCGGUGGUUUGCAUUUGCCUUAUACAAGCUUGUAUUUACAUUCUAUGUACUUAUGCUUGUGUAGUUGCCCUUGUAACUAGUCUUGCUUGUGUUGCUUGAUAGUUACCUUCCUGCUUGUGUAGCUAGAAGUAGUUCCCUUGCAUGGCUAAUUUGGUUUGUGUAACCUUGUUAGUCACUUUGCUUAGUUUGUGUAACUAAGUAAGUUGUGCUCUCUAAUUUGGCAUUAGUUGCCUUGUUAUUGAGCAUUGCUAGUGAGCUUAGAAGCUUUGUGCUUUUGCUUGCUAGUUGUAUAGGAGCUACCUAGUUUGCAACGUACUAGUGGCAUAGGUUUGUGUGACCUUGCUCCUAGAAUUGGUUCGGUGAGCUCUUGCUAAGGAAGCACCUUAUUUUCUUAUUUAGGAUCUUUUACAAUGUGCUAGAGAACUUAGAUAGAGGGGUGUAGUCUUGGCUAGACUGAAAGUUUUAAUUCCGCAUUUGUUUCGGUUAGCCAGUGCAACAAGUUUUAGAAAGGACUAUUCACCCCCCUCUAGUCCGCCAUCUUGACCCUUCAAUUGGUAUCGGAGCUGAGGUCUCUCAUUUGUGGUCUUCACCGACCCGAGAGGAUGGCGGCUUAUGGGCUAGAUGUUGAGUGUCCACACAUUUUUGAUGGCACACAUUAUGCACAGUGGAGAAAUUGGAUGCAAUGCAAUUUUAAGUUUAUUUCUCCUCAAAUGUGGUGGAUGGUAGAUGUGGGCUUUUCUCAUGUGUUGGAUGAAGAUGGUCUAACUCAAGCACAAGAGAAAUGCCUAGAUCUUGACAUCCAAGCUACUGACAUCAUGUAUAGAUCUUUGGAUGAUUGCAUAUUUGGAGAGAUCAUCAACAUGAAGACUGCCCAUGAGAUUUGGAGUUAUCUCAAUAAGAAAUAUGGGAUGGACUUCAACAAUGAUGAUGUUGAUGAUGAGCCCAAGGAGAAGGUACAUGAGGAUGUUGAGCAUGACCACAAUUUGGUAAUUGUGGAAGAUUGCUCCACCUCAUGGUCAAGUGAUGAUGAUGAUGUAUCUACCACAAGCUCACUUGACAAGAUUGAGGAUGAUGCCACAAGUGAUGCAAAUGAUGAUACUACUUCAUGCACACUUGAUGGUGAAGAUGAUGGUUCAUGCUCGAGCCAUGAUUGUGAUGCUACUACAAGUCCAUCAACUACACCACAUAGCUUCAUAUCACAAGGUGACACCAAGGUAUAUAAUGCUAAUGUGGUUAAUCAUAUUGUCUCAUAUGAUGAGCUUGUUAGUAGACUUGCUAGCAUGACCAUGUCUUUAGAAAAUGAGAAAGCUAAAACAAGUAAAUUGGAAAAAGAAAACUCAUUUCUAAAGACCACAUGUGAACUACAAAAGCAUCUACUUUAUGUUACUACUUGUUCACAUGAGGAGAUAAAAUUGGCUCAUGAGGAACUUUGUGUUGCUCAUAAUAGUUUAGUACAAGAUCAUGCUUUUCUCACUAAGAAGCUUUCUAAUAAAGAAAUUAAAACUAGUGAGAGCUCAUCACUUGGGUCAAAUGAUCAACCACAUAUUGUUACUAACCCUGGUGAUGUAGGCAAGAAGCAUGUAUCCACCUCUUGUGAUGAUUUACUAUCUAUGCCAUGUUCUUCACAUAUAGAUGCUUGUUCUAUUUCUUUCUCUUGUGAGACUAACCUUUUGAAGGAAAACAAUGACCUCAAUGAGCAAGUGAAAAAAUUGAGCAACAAGUUAGAUAGGUGCUACUACUCAAAAGUCACCUUUGAGCAAAUAUUGAAGACUCAAAGAAACUACGGCGACAUGUGUGGCCUUGGCUUCAAGAAGAAGAUGACGGAAGAAGAGAGGCUAAAGUAUGUCAAAUGCUUCAAGUGCCGCACUUGGGGUCAUCUCACCUUAAUGUGCCCAACCAAACACUUGGUGAAGCAACAAGUGAAGGCUCAACCAAAGCCACACGUUGAGCAAGAAAAAAAUACUCCAAGCUCAAGUCAUGAUCAACCAUGAAGGUGAUGACUUGAUGAUAAAGAAGAAGAAAACAAGAAGGGGUGGAAGAGCAAGGCAUCCAACUCUUAUUCAAGCUGCCAAGAUGAUGAGCAAGAAUCAAACUAAGAAGAAUGAAGAAAAGAAAACUAAGUUUGCUCACAUCAAGUGCUUUGAGUGCAAGAAUGAGGGACACUUUGCCUCAAAAUGUCCUACCAAGCUUGAGAAGAAGGCUCAAGCAACUUUCAAGAGGCAAGACAAUGAGAAACACAACAUGAGCAAGGAAGAAAAAGCUCAAGCAAAGAGAAUGUGAUACUCAUGCCGAGAAAGGGGACACGCCUCAUUCAUGUCCCCUAGGUAAUAAUUCUAGAGCCUAUUUCGAUUGAUUAUAACAUUGUGCUUAGAAAGGAUGGCAAUGGUACCUCAUUGGUUGCAAUUGCAAAACAUCCCGCUACUCAUACUAAGGCUAUGCCUAAGUAUGUUGCACCUAACUUGAGAGGACCCAAACUAGUUUGGGUACCAUCAAAAAGUGGAUGAUUGUGUCUAGGUACCAUCGGUAUUGGAGGCUUGAUUCAACUGAUCUUAUAUUAUUCAUCAUCAUAUGAUUGAGUCAUGUAUUGAAGUUUAGUGCAUAUCUUAUCCCAAUGCCAAGUCAAAACAAGUGAAGUCCAAGUGCUAUAACAUAUAAGUGCAAAUAUUCAAGUUGUGAUAAUUCAUUGGAUUAUUUGAUGGCUUGCAAAUACAUGAAUUGAAGCUGGCAAAUUGGAUAAUAAUGAGCUAACCAAGUUAUAUCUUUGUUGAUCCCAUUCAUUUGGGUGCAUAUGAGUUAAUUGAAUUGGAUAUAUAUGCAAUGUUGCUUGCUAUAAGAUGUUUGAAUGGAUUAAAUACAUAGUAAUCAAGUUUGGAUUGAUUUGAGUUGGAUAAGUUCAUGAGAUAACUUUUAGUAAGUGGAUUGAAUGGAUAUAUGUCUUAUGAAAGUAUUCAAUCAAGUUGAUCUCAAGUUUGGUUCAAUUUGAACAAGUAUAGCUCAAUUGCUUGAAAUCUGUCCUAUAUUGAAAAACUGAGCUAGCAGUAAUCAAGUCUGAGUUUGAAUGAUAAAAUAUAUUUGGAAUGGCUUGAGAUUUGGUAUGCAUGCUGUACACUCAUCCUAGAAGAUGCUGUAGAAAUUUCAUGGAAAUUGGAUAAGGGAUACUUCGUUUUGGAGUGGAUCUUGUCAGCUAUAGUGCAGCAGUUUUCAGCAUGUACCAGUGGUUGAAGAAUUGCAAUCUGGUAGCAAUCUAGAAGUCAAAUGAAGCUCAAAUUUUUACAGCUGCUAGAUGACUUAGUGAAGCACAUCUCCACCAAAUUACGUGCUAUUUCGAUCUGUAUAUUGUGAGAAAUGAGUUAUUCUUUGAAAGGUACAGAAUCUGCCAGAAAAGUGACAAUUAUUUGAUUGAUCUAGAGUCACUUUGAUUAAAAGGUCCUCAAGUUGGAAACAUGAUUAUAAGUAUUUGGGGCACCCUAAUUUGGUUUUGAAUUGAUCUAGAAGCAUGACAAGUAUUGAGUACAAGGCUAUUUGAUUGUGGAGUGUACUUGGUGUACACAUUUGGCACUCAAAUUGAACAUCAAGAUCAAACUCGAGAUGAAAAAGAAGUUUAAGCUCUAAGUAACAAUUAGAGAUCAUUUGGUAGUGUUGACACCGUUUUUGGACACGUACCCGGGGGUCGGUAAAGUAUAGAUCGACAGAUGGAGCAACGGUAACUAGUCUACAUGGAUGUUGCCGAUGAGGAUGGUUGCCGAUGAAGAGACGAUUGAAUAUGACUAAGUCUAGAGGUGGUGACGUGUUCGUGCCGAUGAUCAGUAUUAGUGUUUGCCGAGGGCAAUAACAGGAGGUCUGCCGAUGACUCUGAAAGAAAACGUGGAGAUUGCCGAUUGAUCUGUGGCGGUGUCCCGGUCGGUUACAAGGGGAUAGUUUUAUGUUUUCCUUAGUUAUUUAAAUUCGUUUUGUAUACGGAUUCCGUUCAAUUUGGAAUUCGAGUCCUAGUCGUGUCUAAUUGUAGCUCUUUGAGCAGGGUAUAAAUGUAGACCCUAGGGCCUUGUAAUGAUGAAUCUAUCAAUCAAUAAAGCACAAGUUUUUACUCAUAUUGCAGCAUCUACUUUUUCGACAACUUCGUCAUAUUUUUCUUUUUUACUACGAGUUCUUAAGGAUUAGUCGACUUAAGCUCGGCAUAUUCUCGAGUUCCGCGUGAGCACCUCUUGGCCGUGACAUCCGGGCGCAUCGCUGUUGUCGGGACCAGUUCACGUUACCACCUUUGCCGAUAGUAAGGUCAAAUCGGCUGGCACGCCUUAACGUUUAAAUCGGGUAUUAGCUCUUUGUGUUCGUAGAUUAGCUUUUGCAUCAACACAUCUUUUGGCAUGCCUGGUGGGACCGAUUCUAGAUCAAGAUCAACAUGGCAAAUAUCGAGUUCGACUUGGAGAACGUCAUCCCCGUGACGGAAGCCAAUCUCAGAGAUGAGCAGAAGCAACCUAUUGCAAAAGCCAUGGAGGAUUACAAGCAAUAAUGUUUGAAAUCCUUUAGCAUCAACAGGAGUGGCAAGGUGAUCCAGAAGGAAGCACUGCCGAACCUCGGCAGGUUACUUUUGAAGCCAAUCCUGGUAAACUUCAAGACAUGGUUGAUAGUGCUAUUACCGUGCCUUGAUUAAUCAAGCUGGUGUGCUAUCCAAUACGGUUUUCAAUGCCAUGGCUAGAACUUUCAAAGAAGGACAAUUGCCACCAAAUUACGUGGGCCCUGUCUAUCAUCAGCCAGGAUCACCAGUGGUUACAGCUCCAUCGGCUACUACAACUGCUGCGGGUAUAGAGUUUACUUCUCCUCCAAGCACAUUGGGGAUCACUAAUGCGCAAUCUGCACCGAUGACGACCAAUCCAUCAACAUCUGAUGAGCAAAUCAAGCUUGCCACAGAUCUAUUGGCAUCCGCAAUGUUGGGAUCUGUUCCUCCCAACUGGUGGGUUAUGGUAUGCCCCCAGAGAUGAUGUUGAAGACCCCUGGCACAUCUCAAACGGCUCACAUGAGAGACAAGGCUCCUAUGGCAUCGGCACCUCCAAAUCUGUCGAUGAAUCAGAGUCCUCAGUAUACUACAACUACUUCUGCAAGACCCUAUACUGGGAAUUCUCAAGCUCCAAUGUUCCAGAUGCCUAGCGCAUCGGCAGAUUCAAUGCCAACGCAACAGAGGUUUAUGACACAGCUAGGGUACGUCAAUUCAAUGAUGAUGCUCAAUUACCAGUCAUCGGCAGGGCUUAUGCCGAUGAAUGCUAACGGUGGAUGGAAUGGGCAGCUAGUGUUUCCACAAAUGCCCCAGCAGAAUCAUCAGGCUCCAGGGUUUCAACAAGGCCAAAUUCAACUCGGGUUUCAGAGUCAAGGGUUGGCCAACCAGUCGAUGAAUCUCGGCCAGCAGAUGGGUGCUCAGAUAAUUAACCCAAUGUUCCAUGCAGAUCGUGCACCCUAGAGACACAUGGAAGCAUACCAGCAGGUGCCAGAUCCGCAACCACCCCAUCGGCAAGAUGUCGAUGCGUAUUGGGCCGAUAAGAUAGCUGAAGUAAUGAGAGACCAAUUUGGGAUAAAACCCAAAGUCCAUACUUACUCUUAUCGGACACCAUAUCCUCCCGCAUAUGACUUAAUUCCACUUCCAAAUCGGUACAAGGUACCAUACUACACUAAGUUUUCUUGACAGGAUGAUACGUCGACUAUGGAACAUGUCAAUAGGUUUAUCAUCUAGUGUGGGGAGGCUGCUAACAGAGAUGAAUUAAGGGUUCGUUUAUUCUCGUCAUCAAUAUCGGGAUCGGCUUUCACUUGGUUUAUUUCGUUACCUCCUAAUUCAGUGAUUACUUGGGCCGAUCUGGAGAAGCAAUUCCACAAAUACUUCUUUUCUG